Molecule: long non-coding RNA, 292 nt
Filed under: Mytilus galloprovincialis (Mediterranean mussel)
Lineage: Eukaryota; Metazoa; Mollusca; Bivalvia; Mytilida; Mytilidae
Source: RNAcentral
GCAUGACGUUUCAUUAUAUUUAGAAUUUGAAUUUCCAUUUUCAUGCCAUGUGUUUAUACUUUAUAUCUAAAUUUCAAAGGUAUUUUUAAACGCGGCGUAACAUGCAAUCAAUAUGUUGUUGUUUAUACUUACUUUCCUCAGAAGCCAGUUUUUUCAAUGAGACAGCUACUAAAACUAUAGCAAUGAAGACUGCAGCUACGAUUAAACCAACCACACUAUAGAUUAUAAUACGAACUAAACCACCAUUUUCACCCAUCUUGAUCUACAACUGAUAUUCAAGUUUUUCAAAUUU